AUUUGCUAGGAUGCUGGCGUAAUGGCUGUAAGCGGCCCGUCUUGUAACACGGACCAAGGAGUCUAACAUCUAUGCGAGUGUUUGGGUGUCAAGCCCGGGCGCGCAAUGAAAGUGAACGGAGGUGGGAACCUUUCGGGGUGCACCAUCGACCGAUCCUGAUGUCUUCGGAUGGAUUUGAGUAAGAGCAUAGCUGUUGGGACCCGAAAGAUGGUGAACUAUGCUUGAAUAGGGUGAAGCCAGAGGAAACUCUGGUGGAGGCUCGCAGCGGUUCUGACGUGCAAAUCGAUCGUCAAAUUUGGGCAUAGGGGCGAAAGACUAAUCGAACUAUCUAGUAGCUGGUUCCUGCCGAAGUUUCCCUCAGGAUAGCAGUGACGUAUUCAGUUUUAUGAGGUAAAGCGAAUGAUUAGAGGCCUGGGGGUUGAAACAACCUUCACCUAUUCUCAAACUUUAAAUAUGUAAGAAGUCCUUGUUACUUAAUUGAACGUGGACACU
This 492-nucleotide ribosomal RNA is filed under the name Pseudo-nitzschia fraudulenta. Its description in RNAcentral is "partial Eukaryotic large subunit ribosomal RNA". It matches the Rfam family "Eukaryotic large subunit ribosomal RNA", at positions 613 to 1109 of the family's 3401-position model. Lineage: Eukaryota; Bacillariophyta; Bacillariophyceae; Bacillariales; Bacillariaceae. The record is from RNAcentral.